Molecule: ribosomal RNA, 622 nt
Filed under: Pseudomonas aeruginosa
Lineage: Bacteria; Pseudomonadati; Pseudomonadota; Gammaproteobacteria; Pseudomonadales; Pseudomonadaceae
Description: bacterial SSU rRNA
Rfam family: Bacterial small subunit ribosomal RNA
Source: RNAcentral
GCAGUCGAGCGGAUGAAGGGAGCUUGCUCCUGGAUUAGCGGCGGACGGGUGAGUAAUGCCUAGGAAUCUGCCUGGUAGUGGGGGAUAACGUCCGGAAACGGGCGCUAAUACCGCAUACGUCCUGAGGGAGAAAGUGGGGGAUCUUCGGACCUCACGCUAUCAGAUGAGCCUAGGUCGGAUUAGCUAGUUGGUGGGGUAAAGGCCUACCAAGGCGACGAUCCGUAACUGGUCUGAGAGGAUGAUCAGUCACACUGGAACUGAGACACGGUCCAGACUCCUACGGGAGGCAGCAGUGGGGAAUAUUGGACAAUGGGCGAAAGCCUGAUCCAGCCAUGCCGCGUGUGUGAAGAAGGUCUUCGGAUUGUAAAGCACUUUAAGUUGGGAGGAAGGGCAGUAAGUUAAUACCUUGCUGUUUUGACGUUACCAACAGAAUAAGCACCGGCUAACUUCGUGCCAGCAGCCGCGGUAAUACGAAGGGUGCAAGCGUUAAUCGGAAUUACUGGGCGUAAAGCGCGCGUAGGUGGUUCAGCAAGUUGGAUGUGAAAUCCCCGGGCUCAUCCUGGGAACUGCGUCCUACACUACUGAGCUAGAUUACGGUUUAGGGGGGCGGAAUUUCCUGUGU